This is a long non-coding RNA of Musa acuminata AAA Group (dessert banana), 492 nucleotides long. RefSeq lists it as uncharacterized. The transcript has 2 exons. Lineage: Eukaryota; Viridiplantae; Streptophyta; Magnoliopsida; Zingiberales; Musaceae. The record is from RefSeq and is a predicted model, not a curated record.
ACCUAACCAGGUUCACUCCUGACGACCGGUCAUCGCGACUUUUCCGAAGCUCCAAGCUUGUCGACUCCAGCAAAGCCCCAACCUUCUCAACUCCGCCAAAGCCCUAGGCUUCUCGCGUGCGCGUUCCUCAAUUUUGCCACGUUCUCGUCUCCCUUACACUCGAAGAGUCGUCGGGGCUUCGCCAAAGCCCUAACAUUCAGCAUUUUUCUUCGUGCCUGUGAAAGGUUCCUGAUUGAAUUGUGAUCAGCCGAAGCUAUUCUCUUAGCAGCUUAUCCUUUGAGUUGAGCUUUGGGGAUUCAAGAGAUGUAGUAUAGUAAAUUGUAGCUUGAUUUCUAUAAUUACUUGGUGAGAUGAGAUUUCUAUAAUGUAAGAUGAGAUUUAUUGAUGCCAUUUAAUCUUGCAUCAAAUGGAUUACAAAUGUGUAGAAUGUACAGAAUGGUGCUACUCUUUGUUACAUUCUUAACUAUAUAUCUCUGCAUUAAGUUGCACUCA